GUAUUGUAUUGCGUUAAACGCGAAGUACAUUCCAUGAGACUUUAUUAUGGUGUGUGUGUAAAGAUGUAGGACCACAGCCAGAGGACGGAGCCCUCAAGGCCAUAGAACUACAGAGGGUGCACAGGUGUGAGUGGAUGUGUAAACAGAGCGUGCACGUGCCCUCUUUCGAGGACCAGCAACAACUCGUGUCGACAGUUCAGUAAUGAUCCUUCCGCAGGUUCACCUACGGAAA
RNAcentral lists this unclassified non-coding RNA (232 nucleotides) under uncultured fungus. Its description in RNAcentral is "sequence contains ITS1". Lineage: Eukaryota; Fungi. The record is from RNAcentral.